GGGGAAUCUUCCGCAAUGGGCGAAAGUCUGACGGAGCAAUACCGCGUGAGGGAGGAAGGCUUUUGGGUUGUAAACCUCUUUUCUUAAGGAAGAAGAUCUGACGGUACUUAAGGAAUCAGCAUCGGCUAACUCCGUGCCAGCAGCCGCGGUAAUACGGAGGAUGCAAGCGUUAUCCGGAAUUAUUGGGCGUAAAGCGUCCGCAGGUGGCCUUUCAAGUCUGCUGUCAAAGACCAGAGCUCAACUCUGGGCAGGCGGUGGAAACUGGGAGGCUAGAGUACGGUAGGGGUAGAGGGAAUUCCCAGUGUAGCGGUGAAAUGCGUAGAGAUUGGGAAGAACACCAGUGGCGAAGGCGCUCUACUGGACCGAAACUGACACUCAGGGACGAAAGCUAGGGGAGCGAAAGGGAUUAGAUACCCCUGUAGUC
Molecule: ribosomal RNA, 424 nt
Filed under: uncultured cyanobacterium
Lineage: Bacteria; Bacillati; Cyanobacteriota
Description: bacterial SSU rRNA
Rfam family: Bacterial small subunit ribosomal RNA
Source: RNAcentral